CAGGCAGAGUCCUGGAGACCGAAGUCUCCAUCUACAGCACAGGCAGUGGCAGUGCAAGCUUCCCCCCACACCAUCCAGCAGCACAUAUGCCAUGCCCCACAUCCAUGUGCAUCAGCUCUGAGCUGGAGGGACCAACUGUAGAGAUGAGAAGAUAGUUUAGUUGCUACGUCCAUACAGUCAUAGACCCAU
RNAcentral lists this small RNA (189 nucleotides) under Chrysemys picta bellii (western painted turtle). Its description in RNAcentral is "TUC338 (ENSCPBG00000013752.1)". Lineage: Eukaryota; Metazoa; Chordata; Testudines; Emydidae. The record is from RNAcentral.